CCAGAAAACUUCAAAAGCAGGUGUGUUUUAACAGAGGGCAAAAAUCUCUUACCCCUAAGCCUCUGCACCUGUCACCGAGAAGGGAGGGCCUGUGGGGCUGCCCUAGGCCUGAGCAGGAAGGGUUGGCAUUAUAGAGGCCAGGGCUGCUUGGAAGACGGCUCAGCAAAAACCCACAGAAGAAAUGAGAUGAGAUCUCCUAAGGUUGCCUACAUGAAGGAACUUCACUUCAAAGCACUGUCCAGUGCCUGACUGCGUUCCAAAAGGGGCCGCCACAUAAUGACCGACCUACAAGGCUCACUGUCACACAGCCAGUCCUACGUUCUGGGGUCAGUGGAGAAUAUAUUGAGACCAGAAGAACAGAGUGGAGCACUAUGUGGAGGUCAGAUAAAAGGCAACUUGCAGCUGUCAAGUCUUUUCUUCCACCAUGUGGGUCCCAGGGAUUGAUGUCAGGUUGUCACAAUAGUGAAUGCCUUUAUCCAUGGAGCCAUCUCAUUGGCCUAAUACAUAUUGCAAUAUCCUACACUUUUGGAAUCUGUAUUUUAUUUGCAGGUUAACCAAGUUCAACCGUUCACCUGCUUCCAAAGCAAAACUACAACCCUUGGAAACCUAGCCGCGCCAACCCAAACUUCACCACCUGGCUCCUAGCCAGCAUGAAGGGCGGGACCAGUGCACGAGGAGGCGGGGCCGGCGUGAACGCCCCGCCCCCGGCAGUCACAGAAGUCCGACACCCCCCGCGUUGAGCC
Alexandromys fortis (reed vole) is the source of this 743-nucleotide long non-coding RNA. RefSeq lists it as uncharacterized. NCBI's taxonomy places the organism in Eukaryota, Metazoa, Chordata, Mammalia, Rodentia, Cricetidae. The transcript has 3 exons. The record is from RefSeq and is a predicted model, not a curated record.